GGCUCACCUAUAUUAUAAAAGGACCAUCCAAACAACUGAAAAAAUACACUUAACAUGUAUUCAACGUCUAAUAAACGAUUACCAUGUGAUAAAAUGAUUACACAAAAGACUCUCUCCCCUAAAACCAUCCUAACAACCUCAUCCCGAUCCCUUUCCAACCUAACCUCUUGCAGACCCUACGUACCAUUGGUUCAAUAAAUUAACAGCCAACUACACUUAGUGCAGAAGAUAUUUAAACUAUGUUCUCCGCGGACAGCUGAAAUUAAAAGGCAUGCAAGUGAAAAAUGCAUAGCAACAUAUAAUAGGAUCAAAACAAACUAUUGUAAAAAGAUAAAAGCAAGCUAACCAUUCUCCAUGAUGAAAAACUAAAGACGACUUGAAAGAAAAGGAGAAACUAACCUUUAGAAGUAGUCGAAUGAAUGCAGCUUCGUGGCACUGUCUGUGGAAGCACUCAAAGUUUCAAAGAAAUCACAUUUAUUUAUGUCUUUGAGGGAAAUCAAAUUACCCAACGGAAAUUUGUUAAUCAAAGGCUUUAACCUCGUAUUGGAAAUCAAAGCAGAAACAUGUAAAAGAGCUGUGACAUACCUGUGGAGCUCUUGAGCAUGGAAAGGCUCUGGUUUUUUUUAUAAAAAAACAACGGAAAAUAAAAUAAGAAACCGGCUGAAAAACUCAAAAAACCUCUUCGGAAAAACUGGACAUCAGCUUACCACUGAUUCACCUAGACCGUAACAAAUCGAGGCAUGCAAAUCGUAGUUUUUGUUCCUGAGAUGAAGGGGAGACGAUAGUAAAAUUCAACACAAAACCAAAAUCAAAAGGAGGUAUAUUAAGUUGGCAAAAGUAUUCAUAUGAUAGGAUUUCACAAAUUUUAAGUUAGAUGGGAAGUUUAUGAAUGUUUGAGAAUAAUCAAUGAGCAACAUGCUCACGAACAGAGUCCAACAACAACAACAACAACAACAAAGCCUUUUCCCACUAAGUGGGGUCGGCUAUAUGAAUCCUAGAACGCCAUUGCGCUCGGUUUUGUGUCAUGCCCUCCGUUAGAUCCAAGUACUCUAAGUCUUUUCUUAGAGUCUCUUCCAAAGUUUUCCUAAGUCUUCCUCUACCCCUUCGGCCCUGAACCUCUGUCCCGUAGUCACAUCUUCGAACCGGAGCGUCAGUCGGCCUUCUUUGCACAUGUCCAAAUCACCAGAGCCGAUUUUCUCUCAUCUUUCCUACAAUUUCGGCUACUCCUACUUUACCUCGGAUAUCCUCAUUCCCAAUCUUAUCCUUUCUCGUGUGCCCACACAUCCCACGAAGCAUCCUCAUCUCCGCUACACCCAUUUUGUGUACGUGUUGAUGCUUCACCACCCAACAUUCUCUGCCAUACAACAUCGCUGGCCUUAUUGCCGUCCUAUAAAAUUUUCCCUUGAGCUUCAGUGGCCUACGACGGUCACACAACACGCCGGAUGCACUCUUUCCAUCCAGCUCGUAUUCUAUGGUUGAGAUCUCCAUCUAAUUCUCCGUUCUCUUGCAAGAUAGAUCCUAGGUAACGAAAACGGUCGCUUUUUGUGAUCUUCGCUAGAUUGCUCCGGUCAUUAGUGUGGAUAAGUAUAUAAAUGGAUAGAGAUAGGAAAGCAAACACAAGAUGUACGUGGUUCACCCAGAUUGGCUACGCCCACGGAAUAGAAGAGUUCUCAUUAAUUGUGAAGGGUUUACACAAGUACAUAGGUUCAAGCUCUCCUUUAGUGAGUACGAGUGAAUGAUUUAGUACAAAUGACAUUAGGAAAUAUUGUGGGAUAAUGAUCUCGUAAUCACGAAACUUCUAAGUAUCGGAGUGUGGUGUCGUCUUGACUUGCCUUAUCUGUCUCAUAGGUAGAUGUGGCAUCUUCUCUGGAAGUACUCUUCCUCCAUCCAGGGGUGGUAUCUUUAACUGGUGGAGAUGCACAAGGUAAUGUAUCAAUUUCACUUGAAGCUUACUUGUAGUUUCAGGCUUGGUCAAGCGCGAUACAAACCAUGUAGUAGGAGUCCCCCAAGUCGCCGAGCUAGGGGGUCUGCUGAAAGAGGUGACAGACAAGGUAAGCAAUCAGAGCUCCGACUGAUUGUUCACCUUCUCCCCAUCUUGCAGCAGCAUGAAGGAUAAAGAGAAGAAAAAUGAGAAGAGAUGAUAUGAGAUACUUUUGCUUUUGAAGAAGUAACUUUCCACAGGCUUAUUCUUGAACUGAGCUGGAGGGUUUUCUGGUUUCCUCCAGAGUAUAAGGCCGACUGAAGAAUUUGAGGGUCAAAACAAGUCCAUCAAAUCUAGAGUACGUUCCACCCUGCUGAUAUGGGAUACUUUUGCUUUUGACAGAGUAAUGGAUGUAUCGGCACGUGUGCUGUUACGCUUGUCUCCACAUGCUUCCUUGUAUCCUUCGCACUUGCCCUAUCUGUUCCUCAAGCAGAUGCGGAAUCUUCCCUGGAAACAUAAGAUGAUGAAGAUGAGUACUCGAGAGCAAUGCCAGGUAAGUAAUCAGGUAAGGGGUUCCAGGCAGUCAAUUCCUGGCUGGAAGCUUGAUUCCAAGUACUGACUGAUUGCUCUCUUUCUCCUUGUCUUGCAGGUAAAAACAAGGCCAAAAGAAAAAACAGGGAAAAAGCAUGAUAUGAGAUACUCUUGCUUUUAACCCUGAUGAUAUGAGAUAUUCUUGCUCUAGUAUAGCUUGUUUGCAGAGGUAUUAUCGGGGGGAAAGAAAGCUGAAUAUUUCGAAAGGCUUUUGUUGGGAGUGCCCUCUCAGAUAUGAUGAAGGGUUGAGCAUUUUUGCAGGUCUGCCUGUCCGUUGGGGAUGGAGGUCGACAUAUAUAGGAGUCUCCCUAACAACAAGUAGUAAUGCUAUUCCUUUACCCUGCUUGGUCAUAGCACGGUAGUGGGAGCUGCCAGUUUCACAUGUUUUAACUCUGUCAGAGCACUUUGAAAAAGUGGUCUGUGGUAUCUGGCUCUCGAGAUUCGGAGAACGAUGCCUCUUCGAUUUUUGAGAAAGCAAUCAUGCUGGGGGUCUGACUCUCGAGAUUCGGAGAGCAGUGUCUCUUCGAUUUUUGAGGAAGUAAUCAUGUUGGGAGUCUGGCUCUCGAGAUUCGGAAGGCGGUGCCUCUUCGAUUUUGGAGCAAGCAAUCUUGUUGGGAGUGUUGUCUCGAAUGUGAGUAAAGGUUGGACAUGUUUGCUAGUCUACCUUGCCACGAAGCACAAAGGUUGACACACAGGGACUUUCCAAUUAUCCAGCAAUGGUACUGUUCCUUUACCCUCUCUUCGAUUUUGAGAAAGUAGUCAUGUUGGGAGUCUGGCUCUCGAGAUUCGGAAGACGGUGCCUCUUCGAUUUUGGAGCAAGCAAUCUUGUUGGGACUGUUUUCUCGAAUGUGAGUAAAGGUUGGGCAUGUUUGCUAGUCUACCUUGCCACGAAGCACAGAGGUUGACACACAGGGACUUUCCAAUUAUCCAGCAGUGGUACUGUUCCUUUACCCUUGUGGGUAAUAAUAUGGUAGCUAGACCUUCAAAAUUUAUGUGUGUAAACUUUGUUAGUGCUGUUUCUUUGCUAUUCUUUUUACCUUUCUUGGUCAGAGCGAUGUAGUGGGAGCUGCAAGCUUCACGUGCUCAACUUUGGCAGAGAACUUUGGCAAAGUGAUCUGUGGUACCCAUGAGUUAUUGUUGCGUGUGGGAAGUGGGUGAUUGAACAGUAAGAUUCAUGUGCUUUCUACUUCACCAGAAGUCUUCGACAAAAUGCCCAUAAUUUCUGCAAAGCUGAGUGUGCGUGUGACAGGUGCUGACAAGGCUAGAAAAGUAGGUGCCUCUUCGAUUUCUGAGAUCGGCCCUCGUGGUCUCUGAGCAGCCCAGCUUUUGAGAAAGCGAGCGCCUCUUCGAUUGAUUCGGAGAACGGUGCCUCACCGAUUUUUGAGAAAGCAAUCAUGCUGGGGGUCUGGCUCUCGAGAUUCGGGGAGCAGUGUCUCUUCGAUUUUUGAGAAAGUAAUCAUGUUGGGAGAGUGGCUCUUGAGAUUCGGAGGGUGGUGCCUCUUCGAUUUUGGAGCAAGCAAUCUUGUUGGGAGUGUUUUCUCGAAUGUGAGUAAAGGUUGGGCAUGUUUGCUAGUCUACCUUGCCACGAAGCACAGAGGUUGACACACAGGGACUUUCCAAUUAUCCAGCAAUGGUACUGUUCCUUUACCCGCUCUUCGAUUUUUAAGAAAGUAGUCAUGUUAGGAGUCUGGCUCUUUAGAUUCGGAGGACGGUGCCUCUUCGAUUUUGGAGCAAGCAAUCUUAUUGGGAGUGUUUUUCUCGAAUGUGAGUAAAGGUUGGGCAUGUUUGCUAGUCUACCUUGCCACGAAGCACAGAGGUUGACAUACAUGGACUUUCCAAUUAUCCAGCAGUGGUACUGUUCCUUUACCCUUGUGGGUAAUAAUAUGGUAGCUAGACCUUCAAAAUUUAUGGGUCUAAACUUUGUUAGUGCUGUUUCUUUGCUAUUCUUUUACCCUUCUUGGUCAGAGCGAUGUAGUGGGAGCUGCAAGCUUCACGUGCUCAACUUUGGCAGAGAACUUUGGCAAAGUUAUCUGUGGUACCCAUGAGCUAUUGUUGCGUGUGGGAAGUGGGUGAUUGAACAGUAAGAUUCAUGUGUUUUCUACUUCCCCAGAAGUCUUUGACAGAAUGCCCAUAAUUUCCGCAAAGCUGAGUGUGCGUGUGACAGGUGCUGACAAGGCUGGAAAAGUAGGUGCCUCUUCGAUUUCUGAGAUCGGCCCUCGUGGUCCCUAGGGAGCCCAGCUUUUGAGAGAAAGCGAGCGCCUCUUCGAUUUCUGAGAUCGGCCUUCGUGGUCUUUGAGCAGCCCAACUUUUGAGAAAGCAAACGGCUCUUCGAUUUCUGAGAUCAACCCUCGUGAUCUUUAAGCAGCCCAACUUUUGAGAAAGCAAACGCCUCUUCGAUUUCUGAGCAGGCGCCUCUUUGAUUUCUGAAGCUCCGUCGAGUGCAGAUUUUUAUAGAGGCUGGCAUUAAGUUCCAAAGCACACUUGAAUCUCCACCAGUAGAAGCUUCAUUCUUGCACUUCUAAUAUCUUGAUUUGUCCGACCUCUUCUCUCUUCAACACCUUUGAAAAUGUAUGGCCCCUCCGACCGUCGUUUUGACUUGAACCUUGUUGAAGAGGCAGCCCCGCCUUCUCCAGACAACAUAUGGCGCCCAUCCUUCGUCUCCCAAACUGGUCCUCUUACCGUUGGGGAUUCCGUGAUGAAGAAUGAUAUGACCGCUGCGGUGGUGGCCAGGAACCUUCUCACUCCCAAAGAUAACAGACUACUUUCCAAACGGUCUGAUGAGUUAGCUGUUAAGGAUUCGCUGGCUCUCAGUGUUCAGUGUGCAGGUUCUGUGUCUAAUAUGGCCCAACGCCUAUUUGCUCGAACCCGCCAAGUUGAAUCAUUGGCGGCUGAAGUGAUGAGUCUCAAACAGGAGAUUAGAGGGCUCAAGCAUGAGAAUAAACAGUUGCACCGGCUCGCACAUGACUAUGCUACAAACAUGAAGAGGAAGCUUGACCAGAUGAAGGAAACUGAUGGUCAGGUUUUACUUGAUCAUCAGAGAUUUGUGGGUUUGUUCCAAAGGCAUUUAUUGCCUUCGUCUUCUGGGGCUGUACCGCGUAAUGAAGCUCCAAAUGAUCAACCUCUGAUGCCUCCUCCUCCUAGGGUUCUGUCCAGUACUGAGGCUCCAAAUGAUCCCCCUCCGGUGCCUUCUCUUUCUGGGGCUCUACCGACUGCUGAGACUUCUCCUAAGCAACCUUUGUGAAGGCUCCCUCUUGUGUGUGUUUAUUUUGACUCAUGUAUAUGUACAUAUUUGUAGCUUAUCGGGGAUAUCAAUAAAUAAGCUUUCCUUCAUUUCAACGUAUUGUGUUAAAUACACCAAAGCCUUCUUCGCUAAGUUCUUUGAAUUUUCUUUUGUUGAAGCUUGUAUGUUGAAGCUUUCUGAGUGGAGCAUGUAGGUUGGGGUAGUGUUCCCUUAAUUUCUCGAGUGAGGAAAACUUCUUGGUUGGAGACUUGGAAAAUCCAAGUCACUGAGUGGGAUCGGCUAUAUGAAUCUUAGAACGCCAUUGUGCUCGAUCCUGUGUCAUGUCCUUCGUUAGAUCCAAGUACUCUAAGUCUUUCUUUAGAGUCUCUUCCAAAGUUUUCCUAGGUCUUCCUCUACCCCUUCGGCCCUGAACCUUUGUCCCAUAGUCGCAUCUUCUAAUCGGAGCGUCAGUAGGCCUUCUUUGCACAUGUCCAAACCACCGUAACCGAUUUUCUCUCUCAUCUUUCCUUCAAUUUCGGCUACUCCUACUUUACCCCGGAUAUCCUCAUUCCUAAUCUUAUCCUUUCUCGUGUGCCCACACAUCCAACGAAGCAUCCUCAUCUCCGCUACACCCAUUUUGUGUACGUGUUGAUGUUUCACCGCCCAACAUUCUGUGCCAUACAGCAUCGCCGGCCUUAUUGCCGUCCUAUAAAAUUUUCCCUUGAGCUUCAGUGGCAUACGGCGGUCACACAACACGCCGGAUGCACUCUUCCACUUCAUCCAUCCAGCUUGUAUUCUAUGGUUGAGAUCUCCAUCUAAUUCUCCGUUCUUUUUGCAAGAUAGAUCCUAGGUAACGAAAACGGUCGCUCUUUGGUAUUUCUUGAUCUCCGAUCCUCACCCCUAACUCGUUUUGGCCUCCAUUUGCACUGAACUUGCACUCCAUAUAUUCUGUCUUUGAUCGGCUUAGGCGAAGACCUUUAGAUUCCAACACUUCUCUCUCAAAGGUUAAGCUUUGCAUUUACCCCUUCCUGAGUUUCAUCUAUCAACACUAUAUCGUCUGCGAAAAGCAUACACCAAGGAAUAUCAUCUUGAAUAUGUCCUGUUAACUCAUCCAUUACCAACGCAAAAAGGUAAGGACUUAAGGAUGAGCCUUGAUGUAAUCCUACAGUUAUGGGAAAGCUUUCGGUUUGUCCUUCAUGAGUUCUUACGGCAGUCUUUGCUCCUUCAUACAUAUCCUUUAUAGCUUGGAUAUAUGCUACUCGUACUCCUUUCUUCUCUAAAAUCCUCCAAAGAAUGUCUCUUGGGACCCUAUCAUACGCUUUUUCCAAAUCUAUAAAGACCAUGUGUAAAUCCUUUUUCCCAUCUCUAUAUCUUUCCAUCAAUCUUCGUAAGAGAUAGAUUGCCUCCAUGGUUGAGCGCCCUGGCAUGAACCCGAAUUGGUUGUCCGAAACCCGUGUCUCUUGCCUCAAUCUAUGCUCAAUGACUCUCUCCCAGAGCUUCAUUGUAUGACUCAUUAGCUUAAUACCCCUAUAGUUCAUGCAAUUUUGUACGUCGCCCUUAUUCUUGUAGAUAGGCACCAAAGUGCUCGUUCGCCACUCAUUUGGCAUCUUCUUCGUUUUCAAAAAUCCUAUUGAAAAGGUCAGUGAGCCAUGUUAUACCUGUCUCUCCCAAAACUUUCCACACUUCGAUUGGUAUAUCGUCUGGGCCUAUUGCUUUUCUAUGCUUCAUCUUCUUCAAAGCUACAACCACUUCUUCCUUCCGGAUUCGACGAUAAAAGGAGUAGUUUCUACACUCUUCUGAGUUACUCAACUCCCCUAAAGAAGCACUCAUUUCAUGUCCUUCAUUGAAAAGAUUAUGAAAAUAACCUCUCCAUCUGUCUUUAACCGCGUUCUCUGUAGCAAGAACCUUUCCAUCCUCAUCCUUGAUGCACCUCACUUGGUUUAGGUCCCUUGUCUUCUUUUCCCUUGCUCUAGCUAGUUUAUAGAUAUCCAACUCUCCUUCUUUGGUAUCUAGUCGUUUAUACAUAUCGUCGUAAGCCGCUAACUUAGCUUCUCUGACAGCUUUCUUCGCCUCUUGCUUCGCUUUUCUAUACCUUUCACCAUUUUCAUCGGUCCUCUCCUUGUAUAAGGCUUUACAACAUUCCUUCUUAGCCUUCACCUUUGUUUGUACCUCCUCAUUCCACCACCAAGAUUCCUUUUGGUGUGGGGCAAAGCCCUUGGACUCUCCUAAUACCUCUUUUGCUACUUUUCGGAUACAACUAGCCAUGGAAUCCCACAUUUGGCUAGCUUCCCCCUCUCUAUCCCACACACAUUGGGUGAUUACCUUCUCUUUGAAAAUGGCUUGUUUUUCUUCUUUUAGAUUCCACCAUCUAGUUCUUGGGCACUUCCAAGUCUUGUUCUUUUGUCUUACUCUUUUGAUAUGUACAUCCAUCACCAACAAGCGAUGUUGAUUAGCCACGCUCUCUCCUGGUAUAACUUUGCAAUCCUUACAAGUUAUACGAUCCCCUUUCCUCAUUAGAAGAAAAUCUAUUUGUGUUUUUGACGACCCACUCUUGUAGGUGAUCACAUGUUCUUCUCUCUUCUUAAAGAAGGUGUUGGCUAAGAAGAGAUCAUAUGCCAUUGCAAAAUCCAAGAUAGCUUCCCCAUCCUCGUUUCUCUCCCCAAAACCAUGGCCACCAUGAAAACCUCCAUAGUUGCCUGUCUCCCUGCCCACGUGUCCAUUUAAAUCUCCUCCUCCUAUAAAUAACUUCUCCGUCUGAGCAAUUCCUUGCACCAAGUCUCCAAGAUCUUCCCAAAAUUUCUCUCCUUCGAACUCGUAUCCAACCCUACUUGAGGUGCGUACGCACUAAUCACAUUGAUAAGUUCUUGUCCUAUUACAAUCUUGAUUGCCAUGAUUCUAUCUCCUACCCUCUUGACAUCUACAACAUCUUGUACCAAGGUCUUGUCCACGAUGAUGCCAACACCGUUUCUCGUUCUAUUUGUGCCCGAAUACCAAAGUUUAAACCCUGAGUUUUCUAGAUCCUUUGCCUUACUACCAACCCACUUAGUUUCUUGUAGGCACAUAAUAUUUAUCCUUCUCCUCACCAUAACUUCCACUACUUCCAUAGAUUUUCCCGUUAAGGUUCCUAUAUUCCACGUUCCUAAACGCAUUUUGCUCUCUUGAACUCUACCCUUCUGUCCUAGCUUCUUCACCCUCCCCCGUCUAAUAGGAUCAAAGUACUUCUUUUGUGUGUCCCGGGUAAAGUUGAUAGGAGCAUAUGCUCCCAAACAACUUUGAGUGGAGUCGUUCGAAAAGAAGUUUCUAUGGCCCCCUUGCUCAUUUAACACUGCAUCCGGGUGCCGAUGGAGAUACAGCGACCCUUGCUCACUUAUCACUGUGCUCGGGCCACACAGCGCGCCACUUACGGGUGACGCCCUAGCUUUAGCGCGAUUUUGUUCUGGAUUCAUUUUCAUAAGGAUUCGACGUGAUCAUGGAGUGAACAGCUUGUUGCAUGAUCAGAAAUUCUCAGAAUCACAGGCAUGGCCAUACCUCCCUCCCACAUACUCCAUUUCUUUGUUUCCAAAUCAAGGAAACAGAGUUCAUUUCAAGAGUUCUAGGAAUUCAAAUAUUUUUUAUAAUAAUUAUAAAAGAAUUACAUUUCUAAUCUCCAAUUCACUGAUAAAAUUUCAGAUUCUUUGAUCACAAUUUAGAGGUAAAUUUCAGUUUCAGUAAAUAAAUUUGUAAAAAGAUUCCUCAGCAUCAUUGUAGCUGGUACUUAUGCAUUUUAUGGGCAAUAUCACAAAGCAGCAGCAGAAGAACGGUAAAUAGGGUUUACGAACAAUAUUUCCAAUUUCCAAAAUUAAGAUUACUUUGGUGUGAAUAUACCCCAACACAUCUAUCAAACCCUAAUUGAAACUUGUGCUCCAAUCAGGCGAACAAAGAACCUCCCCAAUUCAUUUAAUUUUCCAAUUUAAAGAUCGUAACUUUGAAUCAAUCAAAAUUGAGAUUACCUUCGUGUGAAUUGGCGUUUGAGGUUGAGGAAGCUGCUCUGAUUCACGUCUGAAAACGCAAUAACCGAAAUCAAAACUCAGAAACGUACAACAUAAAAAACACGUACACAAUAUACGAUUGAAUAACAUAC
RNAcentral lists this long non-coding RNA (9852 nucleotides) under Malus domestica (apple). Its description in RNAcentral is "long non-coding RNA (MDOM_LNC015688)". The record is from RNAcentral. Lineage: Eukaryota; Viridiplantae; Streptophyta; Magnoliopsida; Rosales; Rosaceae.